Molecule: ribosomal RNA, 327 nt
Filed under: Oxalobacter formigenes
Lineage: Bacteria; Pseudomonadati; Pseudomonadota; Betaproteobacteria; Burkholderiales; Oxalobacteraceae
Description: partial 16S ribosomal RNA
Rfam family: Bacterial small subunit ribosomal RNA
Source: RNAcentral
UUUAUUUUUGGGGGAGGGGGGGGGGGACGUCAAAUCAUCAUGCCCCUUUUGACCUGGGCUACCCACGUAAUACAAUGGGGGUAAACAAAGAGAAGCAAGACCGCGAGGGGGAGCAAAACUCAAAAACAACGUCUCAGUUCGGAAUGCAGUCUGCAACUCGCUUGCCAGAAGUCGGAAUUGCUAGUAAUCGGGGAUCAGCAUGCCCCGGUGAAUACGUUCCCGGGCCUUUUACACCCCCCCCGUCACCCCCUGGGAGCCGGGGGGCCCGAAAUCGGUAGUCUAACCUUAAGGAGGCCGCCGCCCAAGGUAAAACUGAUAACUGGGGUU